GGCUUGACAAAGCCCUGGCUGGGAUGAUUUAAUUGGGGAUUGGUCCUGCUUUGAGCAGGGGGUUGGACUAGAUGACCUCCUGAGGUCCCUUCCAACCCUGAUAUUCUAUGAUUCUUAUCACAGUCACAGUUCUGCCAAGCUGCUCCAACUGUUCCCUCCACUGUUCAUGUAAAGCUACAGCUGACACAGUGCGCAUAGCUGAAGUGCAUGGAGAUAAGUGGUGGAAUUCAAAUCUGUCGAACACAACACAAACAGGGCAUGUUCUCUGAUCAGUACAUUUUAAGGCCAGGAGAUACUAUUAGGUCAUCUAGUCUGACCUUCUGUUAAUACAAGCUAUACGGUUUCAUCCAGUUACCAUUGAAAUGAGCUGAAUACCUUGUGUUUUGAUGAAAAUAUCUUCCAGAAAGGCAUCCAAUGUUGCGAUGAAGACUUCAAGAGAUGGAAAAUUUACCACUUCCCUGGUUAUCCAGUUCCCAAACCUGA
Chelonia mydas (Green sea turtle) is the source of this 483-nucleotide long non-coding RNA. RefSeq lists it as uncharacterized. The record is from RefSeq and is a predicted model, not a curated record. The transcript is spliced from 3 exons. NCBI's taxonomy places the organism in Eukaryota, Metazoa, Chordata, Testudines, Cheloniidae.